This 575-nucleotide ribosomal RNA is filed under the name uncultured bacterium. RNAcentral's name for it is "bacterial SSU rRNA". It matches the Rfam family "Bacterial small subunit ribosomal RNA", at positions 276 to 842 of the family's 1533-position model. The record is from RNAcentral.
AUGAUGCAUAGCCGAGUUGAGAGACUGAUCGGCCACAAUGGAACUGAGACACGGUCCAUACUCCUACGGGAGGCAGCAGUAGGGAAUCUUCCACAAUGGGCGCAAGCCUGAUGGAGCAACACCGCGUGAGUGAAGAAGGGUUUCGGCUCGUAAAGCUCUGUUGUUGGAGAAGAACGUGCGUGAGAGUAACUGUUCACGCAGUGACGGUAUCCAACCAGAAAGUCACGGCUAACUACGUGCCAGCAGCCGCGGUAAUACGUAGGUGGCAAGCGUUAUCCGGAUUUAUUGGGCGUAAAGCGAGCGCAGGCGGUUGCUUAGGUCUGAUGUGAAAGCCUUCGGCUUAACCGAAGAAGUGCAUCGGAAACCGGGCGACUUGAGUGCAGAAGAGGACAGUGGAACUCCAUGUGUAGCGGUGGAAUGCGUAGAUAUAUGGAAGAACACCAGUGGCGAAGGCGGCUGUCUGGUCUGCAACUGACGCUGAGGCUCGAAAGCAUGGGUAGCGAACAGGAUUAGAUACCCUGGUAGUCCAUGCCGUAAACGAUGAGUGCUAGGUGUUGGAGGGUUUCCGCCCUUCA